AGCGAACGCUGGCGGCAUGCUUAACACAUGCAAGUCGCACGGCUGGGGAAACCCAGCAGUGGCGGACGGGUGAGUAACGCGUGGGGAUCUGUCUCCGGGUGGGGGAUAACCGUGGGAAACUACGGCUAAUACCGCAUGAUACCCGAGGGUCAAAGGCGCAAGUCGCCUGGAGAGGAGCCCGCGUACGAUUAGCUUGUUGGUGAGGUAAUGGCUCACCAAGGCGACGANCGUUAGCUGGUCUGAGAGGAUGAUCAGCCACACUGGGACUGAGACACGGCCCAGGCUCCUACGGGAGGCAGCAGGUGGGGAAUAUUGGACAAUGGGGGAAACCCUGAUCCAGCAAUGCCGCGUGAGUGAUGAAGGCCUUAGGGUUGUAAAGCUC
RNAcentral lists this ribosomal RNA (382 nucleotides) under uncultured bacterium. Its description in RNAcentral is "bacterial SSU rRNA". It matches the Rfam family "Bacterial small subunit ribosomal RNA", at positions 30 to 433 of the family's 1533-position model. The record is from RNAcentral.